This 379-nucleotide long non-coding RNA is filed under the name Anser cygnoides (Swan goose). RNAcentral's name for it is "lncRNA (ENSACDG00005003983.1)". Lineage: Eukaryota; Metazoa; Chordata; Aves; Anseriformes; Anatidae. The record is from RNAcentral.
GGGAUAUGGCUAUUCUUAUGAAACUGUCUCCUUAGGAUAGAGGGGGAAAAAAGAUGGGCUGACUCAGAACUUGUCAUCAGUUUUAGUGUGUUCCAUUUUUAUCUCAAAGAGGAACUCUUGUUAAAUUGUAGGGUCAAAUAACCGGAAAACUGUGACUGCAAUUUGAAACACAAAAGGAGAAGCUGGAAGUCUGAAAAGAGAAAGAAAAAGACAGAGAGGUCUUAAAUUGAGGGAAAAAAAAUGCUAAAAAUUCACAGACAUCAUUCAAACAUCAUGCUUCAAAUAAAAUUGGCACAUUAACUUGGAAGAGGAGAGAAAAGGACAGUGAAGGAAGGAAGCUGAGCAGAGAGAUGAAGCUAAGCAACAUCUGAAAGGUAAG